RNAcentral lists this non-coding RNA (21 nucleotides) under Arabidopsis thaliana (thale cress). Lineage: Eukaryota; Viridiplantae; Streptophyta; Magnoliopsida; Brassicales; Brassicaceae. The record is from RNAcentral.
UUGUUUAUUCAGGUGGCAUUU